This is a long non-coding RNA of Neofelis nebulosa (Clouded leopard), 1526 nucleotides long. RefSeq lists it as uncharacterized. The transcript has 2 exons. Lineage: Eukaryota; Metazoa; Chordata; Mammalia; Carnivora; Felidae. The record is from RefSeq and is a predicted model, not a curated record.
AACACAUACUCUGUCACAUAUAACAAGGAGUUUGACUUUCUCCCUCAACCUCAAGUGCCUCCUUGGCUCAUCCUUGACAUUAAGGCCCUUGUCAGAGGGUGAAUGGACAGCAAGAGGAAUGAAGUCCCAGAUGCUAAUGGCUAGCCAGAGAUGCCUGUUUCCAGAAAGACAUAAAAGCCUGCCAUGUAUGACCCUCCAUAUACACACACGCUUACCAUCAAGGCUUGCAAAAAGGAGUUGGACUCAGUAAGCCCACCCCUAAUAAAUCUGGUCUGUUGUUGGUUAUACCACAUAAAGUUGCUGCUCUUUGUUUUUGACCUACCCAAAUGGCAAUCUCAUAUGGUUCAACCUAAUAUAUCUGAGAAUAUACACAAAAAGUCCAUAAAUAAAUGGAGAGUUUGGAUCAACCAACCCACGCAUCAGGUCAUCUCCCUCAUGUAAUCUCAGGGGGGCAGGGCUGGAACGUGAUAACAAUUGAAUGGUCAGCAACCUAAUCAGUUGUACUGUAUGGAGAAAGCAUGAAACAAGAAUGAGAGAGAAGGCUGGAGAAGAGAAAGCAAAAAGAAGUAGGGUAAAGCCCAGAGGCCAGAGCUGACACUUAUUAUCCACCACUGUCCAGGAAAGAGCAAAUGAAACUGGAGCUCAUACAGAUGUGCCCUGCUGUGAAGUAAAGAUGACUCACUAAGCCCCACCCUGAUUUGAAAGAAAUCUGCCUAGGCCAACUCUUGGGAUACACUCAGUAACCAGCCAGCUGAUGGGUGAUUUGGCUUUCUGAUUGCUGAUAUUGAGAAAAGGGUGCUCCAGUUGAGGGAGGAGCAUUCCAGCUCUUGAAGGACUAAUACCAACUGUUAAUGAAUACGCUCGGAAGAUUAUCUAACACCUGGAAUUUGUACUUGGAGAUUGGCUUCACGCAGCAGGGAUGAAUGGGGACACUAAGGAAGACUGCAGAGCAGCAGUGGCUGCAGUUUCUAAACUGCCUUUUGGGACAAAGUGGCAAAGGAGAAAAUUUUUGCAAUGUUGUGGUUGAGAGUGAAUAUUUAGAACUCAAGGCUGAGGGCGACCUUGGUGGUUGUGUGUGGUUUCUGCACUGUGGGGACAGAUGCCUCAUUUAUGGAUGCAGACUUUGUCCAGCUGGGAAAGGUCUACCAGGACAGGGAAGUUGACGAAAUGCUGCAGUCUCCAUUCCUCAUUGGUGAUUUCAAAGUGUACAACCCUGCUCAAUGCUCUGAGAAGUCCUGCAGGAAAGGAACCUGCUUUAGGGUUUUUGACCCUGUGUUUCCCAAAGUUAUUUGACCUCAGAAUUCUUUUUCCCUCUUCAUAGCCCUCAUUUAUACUCUGUGAAAGCCACGUUUCCAACAACCCACUUGGAAAAUGCUAUCCCAAUGUCCAGAGGAACUGGUUCUCACCCUUAAUGCCUCACGGUGAGCAGUGAUGGGGAUAUUCUGGCAGGACACAUGAUGUGGAAUCCUGCUGUGAUAAUCCAGGAAAUAAAAUUGUGUAUUGUGCCUGUUGGGCCCCUUCCCAUA